Long non-coding RNA from Phodopus roborovskii (desert hamster), 292 nucleotides. RefSeq lists it as uncharacterized. The transcript has 2 exons. NCBI's taxonomy places the organism in Eukaryota, Metazoa, Chordata, Mammalia, Rodentia, Cricetidae. The record is from RefSeq and is a predicted model, not a curated record.
GACCACCCACCAUCUGGUCUGGAAUGAAGCCAGACAGAUUCCCAGGACUCUGUGAAUAGAACCAGGACUUCCAAUAACCGCUCCCCACCAGCAGCAGCCAAGAAGGCCCACAAUGAUCGUUGUCUUAUGGAUGGUUCUCAUUGCAGGAACGAUGUGGAAGGGAUAUAAAUAUCCCCCAGGAGGGACCCCUUUGGAAGCAAACAAAGAUGACCCUGGCGAAGUCAUGCAGCUGUGAGGACCACCCGACUGGACGGCUCCUGUUGUAGGUUUCACAUAAAGUAAUCGCACAUUA